Molecule: ribosomal RNA, 445 nt
Filed under: uncultured prokaryote
Description: bacterial SSU rRNA
Rfam family: Bacterial small subunit ribosomal RNA
Source: RNAcentral
CCAACGGGAGGCUGCAGUGAGGAAUUUUGCGCAAUGGGAGCAAUCCUGACGCAGCAACGCCGCGUGGGUGAUGAAGGCCUUCGGGUCGUAAAGCCCUGUCAGGUGGGAAGAAUGUCCCGGGACUGAACAGGUUUCGGGAGUGACGGUACCACCAGAGGAAGCACCGGCUAACUCCGUGCCAGCAGCCGCGGUAAUACGGAGGGUGCGAGCGUUAUUCGGAAUUACUGGGCGUAAAGCGCGUGUAGGCGGUCCUGCAAGUCUGAGGUGAAAGCCCCGGGCUUAACCCGGGAAGUGCAUUGGAAACUGGGGGACUUGAGUACUGGAGAGGAUGGGGGAAUUCCCGGUAUAGAGGUGAAAUUCGUAGAGAUCGGGAGGAAUAUCAGUGGCGAAGGCGCCCAUCUGGACGGUAACUGACGCUGAGACGCGAAAGCGUGGGGAGCAAACA